UACGUAGGGUGCAAGCGUUGUCCGGAAUUACUGGGCGUAAAGCGUGCGCAGGCGGCUUUGCAAGACAGAUGUGAAAUCCCCGGGCUUAACCUGGGAACUGCAUUUGUGACUGCAUGGCUGGAGUGCGGCAGAGGGGGAUGGAAUUCCGCGUGUAGCAGUGAAAUGCGUAGAUAUGCGGAGGAACACCGAUGGCGAAGGCAAUCCCCUGGGCCUGCACUGACGCUCAUGCACGAAAGCGUGGGGAGCAAACAGG
This 253-nucleotide ribosomal RNA is filed under the name uncultured bacterium. Its description in RNAcentral is "partial 16S ribosomal RNA". It matches the Rfam family "Bacterial small subunit ribosomal RNA", at positions 524 to 776 of the family's 1533-position model. The record is from RNAcentral.